RNAcentral lists this ribosomal RNA (448 nucleotides) under uncultured bacterium. RNAcentral's name for it is "bacterial SSU rRNA". It matches the Rfam family "Bacterial small subunit ribosomal RNA", at positions 355 to 825 of the family's 1533-position model. The record is from RNAcentral.
UGGGGAAUAUUGGACAAUGGGCGCAAGCCUGAUCCAGCCAUGCCGCGUGAGUGACGAAGGUCUUCGGAUUGUAAAGCUCUUUUUGGCGGGGACGAUAAUGACGGUACCCGCAGAAUAAGCCCCGGCUAACUUCGUGCCAGCAGCCGCGGUAAUACGAAGGGGGCUAGCGUUGUUCGGAAUUACUGGGCGUAAAGCGCACGUAGGCGGACUGAUAAGUCAGGGGUGAAAUCCCGGGGCUCAACCUCGGAACUGCCUUUGAUACUGUUAGUCUCGAGUCCGGAAGAGGUGAGUGGAAUUCCUAGUGUAGAGGUGAAAUUCGCAGAUAUUAGGAAGAACACCGGUGGCGAAGGCGGCCCACUGGUCCGGAACUGACGCUGAGGUGCGAAAGCAUGGGUAGCAAACAGGAUUAGAUACCCGAGUAGUCCCUGAGCGGGCUGGCAAGGCGCAU